This 664-nucleotide unclassified non-coding RNA is filed under the name Hevea brasiliensis (rubber tree). Lineage: Eukaryota; Viridiplantae; Streptophyta; Magnoliopsida; Malpighiales; Euphorbiaceae. The record is from RNAcentral.
GCUAGAAAACUAAAGAAAAAAGGAGAGAGAGAUUUUGAAACUUACAUGCCAAAGUCUCUCAUAAAUGAAAUAUCUGUGUUGAUGGGUGCUAAGACCAAUAAUGUUUUUAAAACUGAUAAGAAUUUCAGCUGAAUUUUCUUUGAGAUUAGGAAGAAGUUUUGAAGUAGAUGUUUGUUUUGCUGAGAAAGGCAAGUGGUUUCAAUCAAAUGAUCAAGAUAAUCAACUUGGUUUUUUUCAAUCUAGGAGUGUAGUCAAGAUCUUGUUACCCUUUUGAGAUUGCUCCUUGAUAGUGUUUUUUGGUUUUGCUAGCGGCCUUAGACCAUUUUCUCUGUUUUUUGGCAGCUUUUGCAUCUCAGGGGAGUUGCGAUUGCUUUCUCUUAUUUGGCCAGCAUGUUAUUGAAUUUGUAAUCUGCUUGUUUUUCUUUUUUGUUGGCUUUGUGUUCUCUGUUUUCAGGGAAGUUAUUGCUCUUUAGGUGGUUGUAUUGGGGAUUGACAACUGGUCUUUGUGCUAUCCUCCUUCUCUGUAUCUUUUCAUUUUAUUAAAUUUCUUUUGCUUAUAUAUAUAUAAAAAAAAAAAGCUACCAACUUCUCGGGAGACUGCAACUAAAAUUUCUUUGGCCGAACUUUAAAUUAUCGUAUGAGAAUCAACUUCAUUUUAUUUCUG